RNAcentral lists this ribosomal RNA (253 nucleotides) under uncultured bacterium. RNAcentral's name for it is "partial 16S ribosomal RNA". It matches the Rfam family "Bacterial small subunit ribosomal RNA", at positions 524 to 776 of the family's 1533-position model. The record is from RNAcentral.
UACGAAGGGGGCUAGCGUUGCUCGGAAUCACUGGGCGUAAAGCGCGCGUAGGCGGCUUCGCAAGUCGGCCGUGAAAUCUCCGGGCUCAACUCGGAGGGGUCGGGCGAGACUGCGAGGCUCGAGGUGGGCAGAGGGCAGUGGAAUUCCGGGUGUAGUGGUGGAAUGCGUAGAUAUCUGGAGGAACACCGGUGGCGAAGGCGGCAUCCUGGACCGGUAUUGACGCUGAGGCGCGAAAGCUAGGGGAGCAAACGGG